Molecule: regulatory RNA element, 130 nt
Organism: Thermotalea metallivorans
Lineage: Bacteria; Bacillati; Bacillota; Clostridia; Peptostreptococcales; Thermotaleaceae
Rfam family: PyrR binding site
About the family: This family represents the PyrR binding site and terminator structure. This RNA structure is found upstream of a variety of genes involved in pyrimidine biosynthesis and transport. The alignment also includes a portion of the antiterminator structure.
Source: Rfam
AAUGCCUUUAAAUUGGUCCUGUGAGGCCGGUAAGGAUGGAAUAUGGAGUGAAAAGGAUACGAUGAAUCCGUAUCUGUCUUUUGUCAUAGGUAUAUUGCAACCUUCUGUCUCCGGCAGAAGGUUUUUUUAU